AACGAACGCUGGCGGCAUGCCUAACACAUGCAAGUCGAACGGGAUCCUAGCUUGCUAGGUGAGAGUGGCGGACGGGUGAGUAACACGUGGGAAUCUCGCCUUUUGGUUCGGGAUAACCGCGGGAAACUGCGGCUAAUACCGAAUGCCCUCGAGAGAGGAAAGAUUUAUCGCCAGAAGAGGAGCCCGCGUCCGAUUAGGUAGUUGGUGGGGUAAAGGCCUACCAAGCCGACGAUCGGUAGCUGGUCUGAGAGGAUGAUCAGCCACACUGGGACUGAGAUACGGCCCAGACUCCUACGGGAGGCAGCAGUGGGGAAUAUUGGACAAAUGGGGGCAACCCUGAUCCAGCAAUGCCGCGUGAGUGAUGAAGGCCUUAGGG
This 376-nucleotide ribosomal RNA is filed under the name uncultured bacterium. Its description in RNAcentral is "bacterial SSU rRNA". It matches the Rfam family "Bacterial small subunit ribosomal RNA", at positions 29 to 422 of the family's 1533-position model. The record is from RNAcentral.